AAAAUCUGGCAAGAAUUGUACCUGUGGGAGCGCUAGGGGCUAUUUUCCAUAAAUUUAUUAUUUUCAAGGGUUAUAACUGCUUUUAUAAAAGUCGAUUGGCCACCAAUGUAUAACUUGUUUGAGAUAUUGCUUAUACCUAAAGUAUUAGUUUCGUAAAAAUCUGACAGGAUUUGUACAUGUGCGAGCGCUGCAAGGACCGGACAGACAAACACAC
RNAcentral lists this long non-coding RNA (214 nucleotides) under Mytilus galloprovincialis (Mediterranean mussel). Lineage: Eukaryota; Metazoa; Mollusca; Bivalvia; Mytilida; Mytilidae. The record is from RNAcentral.